This 220-nucleotide long non-coding RNA is filed under the name Mytilus galloprovincialis (Mediterranean mussel). Lineage: Eukaryota; Metazoa; Mollusca; Bivalvia; Mytilida; Mytilidae. The record is from RNAcentral.
UGGGGAUUAUUAGUAAAAAACUAGAUAUAGUUUUAAAGAAAAACACCAAAACAAAAAAAAUAUAUGCAUACCUAAUUUAUUUCACAAAUAUUCACAAAUAAAUUACAUUGUACAAUAUCGUAGUGUAUUAAUUAUCACGAACUAUGAAUGUCGGAGUAUAGAGGAAAUAUGCAAUCAACUAUGUCUUCAAACGUUCCGGCAACCAAGUGACAUUAUGGAC